This 274-nucleotide long non-coding RNA is filed under the name Elaeis guineensis (African oil palm). RNAcentral describes it as "long non-coding RNA (EGUI_LNC039336)". Lineage: Eukaryota; Viridiplantae; Streptophyta; Magnoliopsida; Arecales; Arecaceae. The record is from RNAcentral.
CUAGUUUCAGAUUUUAAAGACCUGAUGAGGACCUCUACAUGUGGUAGGAAUCAAGGAGAAGCCAAGGUUCACAUGAAAAGGAAGGAGAAGCUCGUGGAGCAUAAGGUGCAGUGCAAGGUAGCCAACAAGAGAAGUUCUAGUCGCAUUAGAAUCCUUGUUUGCACCCUUUUUGGAUCCUUUUCUUGCUUAUUCUAGAUUUUUCAGAUCUUGGUGAGGGCUUCUACAUGUGGUAGGAGUCAAUAAAAGGAGUCCCUCAAUAUUUGGUUGCAUGAGA